This 1338-nucleotide ribosomal RNA is filed under the name uncultured bacterium. Its description in RNAcentral is "bacterial SSU rRNA". It matches the Rfam family "Bacterial small subunit ribosomal RNA", at positions 28 to 1387 of the family's 1533-position model. The record is from RNAcentral.
GAGGACCUUUGGCGGCGCGCCUAACACAUGCAAGUCGAACGAGCGAGAGAGAGCUUGCUUUCUCGAGCGAGUGGCGAACGGGUGAGUAACGCGUGAGGAACCUGCCUCAAAGAGGGGGACAACAGUUGGAAACGACUGCUAAUACCGCAUAAGCCCACGGCUCGGCAUCGAGCAGAGGGAAAAGGAGCAAUCCGCUUUGAGAUGGCCUCGCGUCCGAUUAGCUAGUUGGUGAGGUAAUGGCCCACCAAGGCGACGAUCGGUAGCCGGACUGAGAGGUUGAACGGCCACAUUGGGACUGAGACACGGCCCAGACUCCUACGGGAGGCAGCAGUGGGGAAUAUUGCACAAUGGGGGAAACCCUGAUGCAGCGACGCCGCGUGGAGGAAGAAGGUCUUCGGAUUGUAAACUCCUGUUGUUGGGGAAGGUAAUGACGGUACCCAACAAGGAAGUGACGGCUAACUACGUGCCAGCAGCCGCGGUAAAACGUAGGUCACAAGCGUUGUCCGGAAUUACUGGGUGUAAAGGGAGCGCAGGCGGGAAGACAAGUUGGAAGUGAAAUCUAUGGGCUCAACCCAUAAACUGCUUUCAAAACUGUUUUUCUUGAGUAGUGCAGAGGUAGGCGGAAUUCCCGGUGUAGCGGUGGAAUGCGUAGAUAUCGGGAGGAACACCAGUGGCGAAGGCGGCCUACUGGGCACCAACUGACGCUGAGGCUCGAAAGUGUGGGUAGCAAACAGAAUUAGAUACCCUGGUAGUCCACACCGUAAACGAAGAUUACUAGGUGUUGGAGGAUUGACCCCUUCAGUGCCGCAGUUACACCAAUAAGUAAUCCACCUGGGGAGUACGACCGCAAGGUUGAAACUCAAAGGAAUUGACGGGGGCCCGCACAAGCAGUGGAGUAUGUGGUUUAAUUCGACGCAACGCGAAGAACCUUACCAAGUCUUGACAUCCCUUGACAGACAUAGAAAUAUGUUUUCUCUUCGGAGCAAGGAGACAGGUGGUGCAUGGUUGUCGUCAGCUCGUGUCGUGAGAUGUUGGGUUAAGUCCCGCAACGAGCGCAACCCUUAUGGUCAGUUACUACGCAAGAGGACUCUGGCCAGACUGCCGUUGACAAAACGGAGGAAGGUGGGGAUGACGUCAAAUCAUCAUGCCCUUUAUGACUUGGGCUACACACGUACUACAAUGGCGUUAAACAAAGAGAAGCAAGACCGCGAGGUGGAGCAAAACUCAGAAACAACGUCCCAGUUCGGACUGCAGGCUGCAACUCGCCUGCACGAAGUCGGAAUUGCUAGUAAUCGUGGAUCAGCAUGCCACGGUGAAUACGUUCCCGGGCCUUGCACA